AUGUGAGCAAUCUCUACUAGUUUCAGUUGAGUACAAACCAGUGCAUACAUAGACAAAAAAAAACAAGUUUAAUAACAAAUAAAGACAGCUGAAGUCAUUAGCCUGGUUGGCAAAGAAAUUGCGUUAAAACAUCUGACAUGUGUUAUGUGGUUAAUAACAAUUACAGGAGCCACACACCACAUUUCUUAUCACAUCCACUAGGACUAGUCUCAUACAAGGGGAAACGGGCUAGCUGACAAGGCACAUUCAAAACCUAAGAGCCAUUAAUGUAGCCAAAUUAAAACAUUUCCAUAAGAUUAAGAAAUCAACUGACGAUUGCAACAAGGAGAUAGUGAUAUCCUCUGACACAUUCGCUUGGCCAUUAGCUACUUAGUACACUAUGGAAGAGAGAGGGAUAUGCAUUCAAGAAGGUUCCUUGAAGCUUGUGGAAAAAAAAAAAAAAAAAA
Biomphalaria pfeifferi is the source of this 446-nucleotide non-coding RNA. NCBI's taxonomy places the organism in Eukaryota, Metazoa, Mollusca, Gastropoda, Planorbidae. The record is from the annotation of a GenBank genome assembly.